UGUUUGGUUUGUUGAUUGGUUGUGUUGAAGGGAUUUUGUAUUUGUAUGUGCGGAAAUGUGUUAAGGACAGGUAGAUUUUGUGUUGGAUAUUCAGGUUUUUCCCUAGCUGACCCACCUGGCAUACGAGUAGGGCACUAGUAGGCGAAACCACCCUGGCUACCACCACCUACCAGCUUUAGAAACCCACCACCAGAGGUCUUCGAGCGGCCCAUUCAGGCGGCCAUUAGGAGGGCGAAAUAGGGGCCAUUGCAACAAACCCGAAUGAAAGGGUAAUGACCGAUGGCUCAGGUCAAGAACCUUGAAGGCCAAUACUGAAAUUCCACUCGCUCAAUUGCCUAAAGACAGUCCCAGAGAUUAGUUCGAAGUAAAGUUUAAAGCUGUGAGCAAAUUUAGUAAGACAGAAGUUAUAGUGGAAAGAGUGGAAAGAGAGGAGGAAGAAGUGAGCGGAAAGUGGACAUCAGGACCCCGCCGUUUUGGUAUAGAAACCACCACAUUUCUAUUACCGCCCCUACGCUGUCCUAGUGCCCCAUUCCGGGUGAAUUCCGGCAUCGUUGUUGGCCGAAGACCGAUCCGCCAAUAUCGGUAGCCUAGGAUGCGUGGGAAGGUCCCAGGAA
Aedes albopictus (Asian tiger mosquito) is the source of this 614-nucleotide long non-coding RNA. RefSeq lists it as uncharacterized. The record is from RefSeq and is a predicted model, not a curated record. The transcript is spliced from 2 exons. Lineage: Eukaryota; Metazoa; Arthropoda; Insecta; Diptera; Culicidae.